Molecule: ribosomal RNA, 429 nt
Filed under: Actinomycetes bacterium
Lineage: Bacteria; Bacillati; Actinomycetota; Actinomycetes
Description: Actinobacteria bacterium partial 16S ribosomal RNA
Rfam family: Bacterial small subunit ribosomal RNA
Source: RNAcentral
UAGGGAAUCUUCCGCAAUGGGCGAAAGCUUGACGGAGCAACGCCGCGUGAGUGAUGAAGGUCUUCGGAUCGUAAAACUCUGUUAUUAGGGAAGAACAAAUGUGAAAGUAACUAUGCACGUCUUGACGGUACCUAAUCAGAAAGCCACGGCUAACUACGUGCCAGCAGCCGCGGUAAUACGUAGGUGGCAAGCGUUAUCCGGAAUUAUUGGGCGUAAAGCGCGCGUAGGCGGUUUUUUAAGUCUGAUGUGAAAGCCCACGGCUCAACCGUGGAGGGUCAUUGGAAACUGGAAAACUUGAGUGCAGAAGAGGAAAGUGGAAUUCCAUGUGUAGCGGUGAAAUGCGCAGAGAUAUGGAGGAACACCAGUGGCGAAGGCGACUUUCUGGUCUGUAACUGACGCUGAUGUGCGAAAGCGUGGGGAUCAAACAGG